RNAcentral lists this long non-coding RNA (1412 nucleotides) under Marmota monax (woodchuck). Lineage: Eukaryota; Metazoa; Chordata; Mammalia; Rodentia; Sciuridae. The record is from RNAcentral.
CACGCUGCUGGGACAGCGGGGUGCAGGCUCCCGGCUUGGGAGAGAAUGCAGAUCUUUGGAGUUCAGGAGAUUGUCGGUGUGGCAGCGUUGGAGCCAGGAUGAGGGGAGCAGAGGGCUGGGUGGGGAAGAAACAGGGUGUCUAUGAUGCUCUUGCCCCAAGGACCCUCUUCUCCCUCGACCCCUCCUUACUGACUUCACUGUACCCCUCCCACUGGUCUCAGUCACCAACCAUCCUUAUUUGCCACAGGCCCUGCAAACCCAGGGCAGCCUCUGAAGCCUGGGGAGGGGGACAUCUGGAAAUCCCCACCCUACAGAUGCUGGCUAUGGCCUUGGAGUUGCAAGACCAUGACUUGCGCAAGGUCACAUUGACCAAGCCUAAACCAAGGGUCAGGACUGGUUCUCCAGAGCUCUUUGCACUACUCAGACUGGCCGGUCUUAGGUCACUGCCAUCCCUGAAUUCUCUCUAGAGAUUAUCCUAGAGUAGGUAAGGAUUAAAUGAGAUGGUUCCCCUAAAACACUUUGUACAGUGUCUGACAGAGAAAACGCUUACCAGUUCCCCAUUCUUCCUGAGCUCUGAUCUUAUAUAUCUGUUAGACACCAAGGGUUCCAGAACAGGAUCUGUCACCCAGUUCCUAGAUCUGUCUGAUCAGGGAAUCACACCAGACCCUGGUGUGAUGUUCUAUGGACAGUUUUUUGAUCACUGUUGUUGAGAGUCACUUUGUUGCCCACACUGCUCUAUCUGCAGAGUUUGUGUUAGCACAAAAUGAAAGAACAGGGUGCAAACUUCAUGAAUCAGCACAGCCUUUCUUCACUGGUGGAGUCACGCCUUUGAUGGACCCACUUUCCUGGUGGAAAAUGAGCCACUGGCCAAAGAGGGGGUCUGUGCUUAUAAAGGUUACAAUGAGAGGUGACUUAAUUAUUGACAGAGCGUGUCUAAUGGUGGGUGUGGGGUCAGUGUUCAGUAUUUCUCUCUUUCCCUCCAGGGUCCCAUUGUACUGAUUUAUUUUGGGAAGGGUCAAGGCUCUGGCUUCCUCCCAGAGACUGCCAGUCUAGCUUUGAUGGAUGGCUUCUCCCCAGGGAUUGUCUUGCCCCUGGGAAAGAAUGUAUUGGGAAAGGAUCAAUGUUAUCAAUGUGUUGCCUUCUUCCUCGCUCCCUCUUUCCAGGCCACACUAUUUGGGGGUUUGUCAUUUUCUAUAUCUUACAGUUUGGUAUAAUAGAAGCCAUCUACUUCUUUUUUCUUAAGUAAGAAAAUUGUUGAGAGGGGAGGGGAAGGGGGGAUAGGAAGGGCAGCAGAAUAAAAUAGACAUUAUGAUUGCUGUAUGUAUAUACGUGACUAUAUGACCAAUGUGAUUCUGCAACCUGUACAAUCAGAAAAAUGAGAAAUUAUACCCCAUUUGAUUCAAAUAUAUGAU